This 230-nucleotide ribosomal RNA is filed under the name uncultured bacterium. RNAcentral describes it as "partial 16S ribosomal RNA". It matches the Rfam family "Bacterial small subunit ribosomal RNA", at positions 111 to 334 of the family's 1533-position model. The record is from RNAcentral.
UAAUACAUAAGUAACCUGCCCUAGACAGGGGGAUAACUAUUGGAAACGAUAGCUAAGACCGCAUAGGUACGGACACUGCAUGGUGACCGUAUUAAAAGUGCCUCAAAGCACUGGUAGAGGAUGGACUUAUGGCGCAUUAGCUGGUUGGCGGGGUAACAGCCCACCAAGGCGACGAUGCGUAGCCGACCUGAGAGGGUGACCGGCCACACUGGGACUGAGACACGGCCCAG